CGGAGGGUGCAAGCGUUAUCCGGAUUCACUGGGUUUAAAGGGUGCGUAGGUGGGCAAGUAAGUCAGUGGUGAAAUCUCCGGGCUUAACCCGGAAACUGCCAUUGAUACUAUUUGUCUUGAAUACUGUGGGGGUCAGCGGAAUAUGUCAUGUAGCGGUGAAAUGCUUAGAUAUGACAUAGAACACCAAUUGCGAAGGCAGCUGGCUACACAAAUAUUGACACUGAGGCACGAAAGCGUGGGGAUCAAACAGGAUUAGAUACCCUGGUAGUCCACGCCCUAAACUAUGGAUACUCGACAUUUGCGAUAAACUGCAAGUGUCUGAGCGAAAGCAUUAAGUAUCCCACCUGGGAAUACGAUCGCAAGAUCG
Molecule: ribosomal RNA, 367 nt
Filed under: uncultured organism
Description: bacterial SSU rRNA
Rfam family: Bacterial small subunit ribosomal RNA
Source: RNAcentral